This 30-nucleotide non-coding RNA is filed under the name Mus musculus (house mouse). Lineage: Eukaryota; Metazoa; Chordata; Mammalia; Rodentia; Muridae. The record is from RNAcentral.
UGAACAACUUUAUUCCAUUCAUUGGGUAUC